RNAcentral lists this ribosomal RNA (346 nucleotides) under uncultured bacterium. RNAcentral's name for it is "partial 16S ribosomal RNA". It matches the Rfam family "Bacterial small subunit ribosomal RNA", at positions 338 to 681 of the family's 1533-position model. The record is from RNAcentral.
CCUACGGGUGGCUGCAGUGAGGAAUAUUGGUCAAUGGCCGGAAGGCUGAACCAGCCAUGCCGCGUGAAGGGCAGGGCCCUAGGGGCGUUAAACUUCGUGUGUGCGGGAGAAAGAAUGGGCACGUGGGGCCAGACGAGAGUACCGUACGAAGAAGCAGCGGCGAACUCCGUGCCAGCAGCCGCGGUAAGACGGGGGAUGCAAGCGUUAUCCGGAUUUAUUGGGUUUAAAGGGGGCGGAGGCUGUGAGGUAAGUCAGCGGUGAACUGCCCCCGCUCAACGGGGUGAAGUGCCAUUGAUACUGCCUUGCUGGACUGCGGAUGCCGUGGGCGGAAUGUGUGGUGUAGCGG